UACACCCUCACCCCUCCCAACUUGUUGGGCGUGUUUGCUCUGUUUGCAAGCCAUUGGGGUGGAUCUGGCUUCCCCAAUCAUGUCCGUUUCACUGCGGCAGAUUGGGCUGGCUGAAGUGCAGAGGCUUAAGCAAGGACCCGAUAUGGGCUUCAACUGGAUAGGUAGCACCGGCUCUUGCCGACUACACGAAGUUGUUGCUUGUGGAUCUUGCUAGGAGCCAAGCAGGAACGUGCCUUUGGCAUGUCUAAAC
This 250-nucleotide unclassified non-coding RNA is filed under the name uncultured eukaryote. RNAcentral's name for it is "partial internal transcribed spacer 2". The record is from RNAcentral.